RNAcentral lists this long non-coding RNA (42441 nucleotides) under Arachis ipaensis. RNAcentral describes it as "long non-coding RNA (AIPA_LNC001446)". The record is from RNAcentral. Lineage: Eukaryota; Viridiplantae; Streptophyta; Magnoliopsida; Fabales; Fabaceae.
CUCAAAAACCUUACCGACAAUGGACCUCAGCUGCGCUAUUUUCUGACAACAGAGGCUCGGCCACCCUCCUCCAGCAGCGGCGACUGCACACGUGACAGGGACUGUGCGAGACUCGGCGACAGUGACGCGACGGCUUGCCUCCUUCCUUGCGUCGCACCGUCUAUGUCUCUCUCAAUCUCGGCAUCGCUCUCCCUUUCUCCUUCGAGCUCGACGGCAUCGGACCCAUGACGGUGGCGGCAUUGAGGAUAAAAGGCACAAACACAUCUGCGACGAUGCUCUCCUUUCUCUCUUCUCCUCUCCGCGUUGGCGCCAGCAAUGAUGGGCAGUUUGGCGGCGAUGAUGACACGAUGGCCCUACAGCAGUGAUGCCCGCCGGCGCCGUCCUCCCUCUCUUCUCCUCUGUCUCUGUUUCUCCCUCUUUCCCGCCGCUCUCUCUUUCCCCCUUCUUGCUCCCUUUUCUUUCUUUCUUUCUUUACGCUUUAGUUUGAGUUUUAAAAAUCUCUUCUUGAAGUUAGAAUACAAAUGUCUGGGAUAGAAUCGAUGAUCUACUCCGAAAAAUAGCUCAUCAAAUGUUAAAACUAAUUCCUACAACAUUUAUAUAAUUCACUUUUCUGGAGACAUAAUUGAAUGUAAACACAAAUAGUGGGUAUAAUAUUAAAAUUGAAUACAUCCAAGUGAGACCUAAUUGAGAAUGAAUACAUCCAAGUGAGAGUAAUUAAAAAAUAUAAUCUGAUUUGUUAGUAUAAUUGAUAGUAGGAUAACAUUAAAUCACUUUUAUAAACGUUAAGGAUAAAAAUAGGACGAUUUAAACGUUAGAGAUACAAAUAGGACUUACCCCAAAUAUUGGGGACAAAAACGAUACUUUACUCAUAAAAUUAAGUAAAAUUCUAAUUUAAUUAUCAAAACCUGAUUUAAUUUCUUUUCAUAAAAUAAUUUCUGAAAAUAAAGUCCUUGAUAAAUAAAUAAAUUGAAAUUAGCUCACAAUAAGAUUUUUCGAAAAUUCUGGGUCUUACAUUCUACCCACCUUAGAAAAAUUUUCGUCCUCAAAAAUUAAAGUAAUACUCGAGAUAUUGCAUAAUUUUAAUACUCUACUUUUGGAUACUUUAGAAAAGCAAGAAGUCUUGACAUAUAACUAUAUAUACAUAUAAAUUUUCAAAUACCGGAUAAGCCAUAAAACUUAGAUAUAAAGAAAGAGGGUNNNNNNNNNNNNNNNNNNNNNNNNNNNNNNNNNNNNNNNNNNNNNNNNNNNNNNNNNNNNNNNNNNNNNNNNNNNNNNNNNNNNNNNNNNNNNNNNNNNNNNNNNNNNNNNNNNNNNNNNNNNNNNNNNNNNNNNNNNNNNNNNNNNNNNNNNNNNNNNNNNNNNNNNNNNNNNNNNNNNNNNNNNNNNNNNNNNNNNNNNNNNNNNNNNNNNNNNNNNNNNNNNNNNNNNNNNNNNNNNNNNNNNNNNNNNNNNNNNNNNNNNNNNNNNNNNNNNNNNNNNNNNNNNNNNNNNNNNNNNNNNNNNNNNNNNNNNNNNNNNNNNNNNNNNNNNNNNNNNNNNNNNNNNNNNNNNNNNNNNNNNNNNNNNNNNNNNNNNNNNNNNNNNNNNNNNNNNNNNNNNNNNNNNNNNNNNNNNNNNNNNNNNNNNNNNNNNNNNNNNNNNNNNNNNNNNNNNNNNNNNNNNNNNNNNNNNNNNNNNNNNNNNNNNNNNNNNNNNNNNNNNNNNNNNNNNNNNNNNNNNNNNNNNNNNNNNNNNNNNNNNNNNNNNNNNNNNNNNNNNNNNNNNNNNNNNNNNNNNNNNNNNNNNNNNNNNNNNNNNNNNNNNNNNNNNNNNNNNNNNNNNNNNNNNNNNNNNNNNNNNNNNNNNNNNNNNNNNNNNNNNNNNNNNNNNNNNNNNNNNNNNNNNNNNNNNNNNNNNNNNNNNNNNNNNNNNNNNNNNNNNNNNNNNNNNNNNNNNNNNNNNNNNNNNNNNNNNNNNNNNNNNNNNNNNNNNNNNNNNNNNNNNNNNNNNNNNNNNNNNNNNNNNNNNNNNNNNNNNNNNNNNNNNNNNNNNNNNNNNNNNNNNNNNNNNNNNNNNNNNNNNNNNNNNNNNNNNNNNNNNNNNNNNNNNNNNNNNNNNNNNNNNNNNNNNNNNNNNNNNNNNNNNNNNNNNNNNNNNNNNNNNNNNNNNNNNNNNNNNNNNNNAACAAAGAGGUUACGUAGUGUCAAGACUUUACUAAAGCUUGAAGAAAUGCCAUAAGGUGUAAAUGUUCAAGGUGUGUGUUUGCAAAACAAUGUGGUCAAUAGGCCAACAUUCUAGUUUCCUUAACUAAUCAUGAGGUCUCAACGUCCCACACUUUAACAUAGCUCACCAUCACAAUUCUCAACUAUACUUUAUCGAACGAUUCAUCCGAAAGUUCUCAACCUCAUUAAUCACUUCUCAAACCCAUUACCAAUCACAAGCCUAAUACCAACAAAACUCUUUCGCGUAAAUCCAAGAUCCACAACAUCCUGUGGCAUCACACACUUACAAGUUUCACCUUUUGCAUUCACCAACCGUGUCUUAAGAACUAACAUAUCGCUUGUUGUAUUUAAAGACCACACGUGACACUAAAAUAAAUCUCGAGUUUACUUAAAAAGACACAAGACUUUAGAAAGGAAAGGCAAGUGUCAAGGACAAUACUCAUAAAUAUUUGAAAGAAUGAAUGCAAUUACAGGUAAACAAGGAUGCACAAGCAAUGAAGUUUGCUAGAAAGAAAUCAAUUGACAACUUCAAGGAUAACUCUUAAAUCAAAGAAAUUUAAUAAGAUCAAUAAGAAGAAAAACAAAACAUUAGUUUGAAACAUAUUCAAGCCGAGUCAAAGAAGUAUGAGAUUUUAUAGAAGAGGAAUGAUUAAAGACUAUAGUGACGCAUUACUACGGAACAACUUCAAAUGAUCACGAGGGUUUCAUAGUUCGUGGAGGAAUAUGGAAUCAAUAGCCGUGUUGUAAGUGUCUUAACAUAGUCAGAAGUGUAAGCAGAUCAGGAUAUGCGUAAGAUACAAAUGGUAAAGCAAAGAAAUUUAAAUUACAUCUCAAGAAAAAGAGAAGGAUAAACGACACAUCAAAUUAAAUGGCACGAUUUAGAACGCAUAAGCCAAUACCGCAUAAUUAAAAGAAGCACUUUACAUUUUCAAGGAUUCAAGGGUCAGUGUCGUACCAAAACAAUUUCAAUGUCAUGUCAAAGAAUACAAGAUUCAUGAAGAGAAGUAUAAUGACAAGGAUAGACGUUAUUAAAGAUUCAAACAGUAGUUUACAAAUAAGAGGCCGACGUAUGGAGAGAUUAAAGAACUUUAAUAGAGAUGAUUAGAAGAAAAUGGUGCAUUCAUUAGAAUUGAAUUCAAACUGAAUUUAAAGUACAAGAUUUACAAUAAGAGAGUGACCAGAGUCAAGGACGUCAUUUACAAAAUUCAAGAGAAUGUUUAGGAACACAAUUGAAUGAAAUAUCCACAAAGAAUAGAUCAACUUAAGAGGAAGAUCAUCUUACCUAGUAAAAAGAGAAGAUAUGAAAUAAACAAUUGAGGAAAUUUAACAAAGUAUAGAGGUUUGCGUUACCUCAAAAUAUAUUCAGGUUGAAAUAAGUUACGUGAGGGUUGUAAAAUGAAGGUCGUUUAGAAUAAAAGCAAAAUCUUCCUUCAAGAAACUUAGAGUAUACUUAGGUACAUGACCAAACAAAGAUAUGCAUAAAUUGUAAUAGGGUCGGAAGAAAAGAAGAAGUUGUUUUACAUCAAAAUGAUUUCUAAGGUAAAGAUAGAAUAUGUAAAGUUUAAAAGAUGGAAUUUAAUUGGACUAAGAACCAAAAGUAAUUUCUCAAGAGUCUUAAAAGGUACUUAGGUGUUUAGUCAAUUAGAGGUACGUAAUGAAAUUGCGGUAAAGUUGAAAAGAAUUCAAAUUUUGUUUCAAAGGAGAAUUUGAGAUAAAGUCUCAGAAUACAUAAGCUCUCAAAAUUCAUAUGAGUAAGGGCAUGCUAGAUUCAAAACAUCUUCAUUAAAUUUAAAGAAUGACUCUGGAUAUAAUCAAGCAAGAGAAGAUUGAUUGAAAAUUUCUUCAAAGAGAAUCCAAAACUUCUUUAAAAAGGUCUAAAACCAAAAUUUUGAAUGUAUUAUUGAAAUCGCAACCUCAUAAAGAUAUUAAAAAAGAUUGAGAAAUGCAAGGAAGGAAAUUCAUUCACAUUUCAAGAAAGAAACUUAAAUCAAGUAGUUCAAACAGAAUUCAAAAGGCAUGACAGAUCGAACAAGUUCUCAGCUGAUCUAAAUGAAUACAAAACUCAUAAGGAAAAACAACUCAGCCAACAGCAAAAUCUCAAAGAUUUCAAUGAUCACUUUGAUGCAUCAAACAAGUUCAAAGCACAUCAAAGAGUACAUGAGUCAAGAAAAAGAGUUUAAACAACAUAAGGCAGAUAUCCAAGGAAUGUAAGCAGACAUAUGCAGUCAACAUCAAACGAGUAUGCAUAUGCACAAGGAACAGGGUUUGAGAAUAAUCAGUUUACUUUUCAAAAAAGAGAUCUCAAACAGGAAUUUCAAAGCAAACCAUGAAAGAACACGUCACAAGUCAUUAGCAAAAUUUCAAGACACAUAACAGAGUAACCUCGAGAAUUAACUCCUAACAUUCCCAAACCCGUAAACCGCAUCAUUUAUUAAUCCUAUUUUAUCUAUGAUAACCCAUUAACUUCUCGUACACAUAAACCAUCAACAUUAAGUUGGCCAGACUUAACAUCAGCAGAUAUGCAACGGUAAGCUAAUAGCGUUAAUCAAUAGACAGUCAUGUGCAUAAAGUUCUAACUCUCGUCAUCAGGACAAGACCUAUAACAUGACAGAUACUCAGUGUAUGCAACGAAGUAUAGUCAGUCCACUCCCAAGCUCUAAUCAGGAUGAACUACUCUGAUAUCAUAAUGUAACUCCUUUACUUUUAGCACCUCAUGAUCGCACUAAAGGUUCAGGCGUUACUUACCUCUAAUCUAUUAAUUUCAUAUUAUAAUUAUUUAAUAUUGAGCUUUCGCGAAUAAAAACCGAAUCCUUAGUUACGAAAUCAAAAAGCCUUUACUUUAAUUCACUUAAUCACACAAUUAUAUCCACAUAAUAAUAAAUACAUAGAAUUAUUCAAAACUCAAAAUACAAGUCGUGCCCCUCUAAAAUCUCAAAAUGACAAUUGACGAGGGAUAAAAUCACAACUAAACCAUCAAACAGAAAAUAUAACAUAUAUAUAAAUCUUGUAGAUCGGUUGCGGCUUUGCGCCAACGCUUUCUGAACCUGUUACUGAAAAGAAAUCAUGUAGGGGGUGAGAACAUCGUCCUCACAGGUUCUUAGUAGGGACGGGAAUAUCAUCAAAGCAAAGAAAUACUUGCAAAUAGAAUAAUUUUCAUUACAAAAACAGAUUACCUUUGAAAUAAUCUUUUGGAAAAGUUUUGCAAAAAAUCUUACUUUAAAAGGUCGUAAAGAAACUCUUUUAAUUUACAAGCCCAGCAGGUGAAUAGUUUAAAGGACAAAAGAACCAAAGACAUGCCUGAGGGCUUUCAGCCCCAUGACUUACCCCACUCAAAUCCAAAACUGGGUAUAACUACAACAUACACACUUAAGCUUUUAUCCAACAUUCUACUCAGCCUAUCUCUUUUCAUUUACACAGUCUAUCCGCAUAUAACUCAGUAAUUCAGUAUUAAAACUCAGUUUUCAACAAACAUCCCAUCAUCAACAUCAAGAAUAACCCUCAGCGUCACCAUAGCUAGCAUGAGGGAUCUCUCAGUUGUCAAACACAGACAAGACAAAGCAAAGCAUACACAAUUAGAUAGUACAGAUAAAGCAAUUAGGUCAAUUAGCAGAUAGAUACAAUUAUUCAAUUAGGUAAACCCACAAACAAGAGUCACCCAAAUAAUACACACAAAUGCAAAUGAUGCAUGUCUGCCCUAUGGCUAAUGAUAUCAUCUGUCGGUUAUAUAGCCAACCCGACAUGUCCUGGUAGUUAACCAUUGGACAUUCCCUGCAAGCACACAUCCUCAAGCUCAAAAUCAUAACCAUUCAAUAUCUAUAUAUCCAUGGGGGAGAGCUCAUCCGGAAAGGAAUAAGUGUCUGGUCACACUUACGACGCAGGAUCAACAGAAUCUCGGAUCUCAACUUGGAGCAAGUGGAGCCGGCCCACUGCAUCUACCCAAGAAAAUCCUAAAUCNNNNNNNNNNNNNNNNNNNNNNNNNNNNNNNNNNNNNNNNNNNNNNNNNNNNNNNNNNNNNNNNNNNNNNNNNNNNNNNNNNNNNNNNNNNNNNNNNNNNNNNNNNNNNNNNNNNNNNNNNNNNNNNNNNNNNNNNNNNNNNNNNNNNNNNNNNNNNNNNNNNNNNNNNNNNNNNNNNNNNNNNNNNNNNNNNNNNNNNNNNNNNNNNNNNNNNNNNNNNNNNNNNNNNNNNNNNNNNNNNNNNNNNNNNNNNNNNNNNNNNNNNNNNNNNNNNNNNNNNNNNNNNNNNNNNNNNNNNNNNNNNNNNNNNNNNNNNNNNNNNNNNNNNNNNNNNNNNNNNNNNNNNNNNNNNNNNNNNNNNNNNNNNNNNNNNNNNNNNNNNNNNNNNNNNNNNNNNNNNNNNNNNNNNNNNNNNNNNNNNNNNNNNNNNNNNNNNNNNNNNNNNNNNAUAUAUAUAUAUAUCCAUGGGGGAGAGCUCAUCCGGAAAGGUAUAAGUCUGGCCACAUUUACAACACAGGGUCAACAGGAUUUCGGAUCUCAACCUGGAGCAAGUGGUGCCGACCCAUUGCAUCUGCCCAAGGAAAUCCAAAACUUAGAUAGUUUCACAAAUCUCAAAUCAUUCUCAACUGGGAGCAAGUGGAUCAAUGCCACUGCAUCUACCCAGGCAGGUAUAUAUAUACAUACAUCAAUCAGAAUCAAUUUCAUUAUCCAUUUCAUCCUCAAUCUUAUCAUCGAUCUCAUUCUCAAACUUAUAUCAAUCUCAUUCUCAAUCUCAUAUUCAAUAGUAUUUAAACUCACUCAUAAUCAUCUUUCAUUAUCAUAUUUAAUUACCAUUCAUCAUCACAAUCACCCUCAUCAUAGAUUACUCCUCGUUUUGUUCAUUAUCAUCUAAUUCACUAACUUAGCUCUUUAGGUUUUGUUCUCAACUCCUCUAUCCUUAAUUCCAUCGACAUCAAACUCGUAUAAGAAUUAUAAAGAUUUAGAAGACUCGAGAAAUGGUUGAAAGCUUAAAAACUCAUUUUUCAAAAAAUUGUGGUGGUCGCGUACGUAACCCAUGUUCGCAUACGAACGAGUGUUGGCAGUGGCCAACACCCGCGUACGCACGAUGAGUUCUGCGCACGCAUUACAUAUCAAAACUUGAAAAAUUCUGAUAUGUUGCAGAAACCAAUUCUUUCAGCCCAAAGUUCAAACCUUCAUAACUUUUUCCAGAAAACUCAUUUUUCAACCAUUCUUGAACCGUUAGAAAGAUCGAUAACUUGAUAUUCAGAAAAAUCAAAUUUUGUAAAGUUUUUCCAACUCCGAGGGUCGAGUCAUAACCUGCUGAAGUUAGCCAAAAAUCAAUUUGAACAAUAUAUAAGUUACCAACCUUUCCAAAGAUUCACAAGCCUUAUCAGUUUCUACUCAAUAUAAUGAUUUCCAAAACCUUCCCAAAUCACUCUUUCAUAAUCGACCAAACUCAAAUCAUCCAAUUCACGUCUCAACUCCUCAAUCAAAACUAAUUAUCACUAAUCACAUCUCAUUCUCAAGCAUGACCUUCAAACUCACACUUCUAUUCCCAAACCCUUAAAUUUAUAAUUAAUUUACGUAUUAAUAUCCUUAGCUAGUUAUCUAAAUCUCUUCUCGUUGUCAUUAAAAUCACAUAAAUUAAAAUCAUAAAUCAACCAAAUCAUAAAAAUCCGAUUCUCUUUGAAAUCAUUUAAAACAUUCAAAACUUGUCUCUUUGACAAUUAAUUCAAACCAAACUCAUUUUCGAAAUCAUAACUAAAACAACUCCAAAUUCUUAGAAAAAUUUUGGCAACACCUCCCUUAAAAACUGGAGUUUGCCGCCCAUCACAGGUCCCCUCUUUUCAAUCCUCAACACAACCAAAACCAGCCUCUCAAUUUAACAUUUCCAAAUCCGUUAUUCAAAACCAUUCAUUAUCAUUUCAAUAUAAAAUCCAAAAAUCAACGUAUUAAAUCAAUUUUACCAGAAACUCAGAAAUCAACCAAUAAACAACAAACAUAACCUUUCAAUCACAGUAGAAAAUCAUUUACAUCACAGGCAUUCAUCUGCUAAACUUAUAAGGUAUUCAAAGCCCAAAACAUUUUUAUUUUAAAACAAACCCCCUACCUCAAAAGUCGAACCCCUUUUUAUUCUUAACUUGCGGCAGUGACCUCAUUGACUUUCAGGCAAUAUCAACAGCGACAAUCAAGGUUCACAGCAACGACAACUUAUCUGACAUAAACUGGGAUUCAAGUGAAAUGGAUAUUAAAUGAAAUUAGAACAUAAUUGUUAAUAGAGUAUUAUGGUAAAUAGGAACGGAACCAAUUAGUCUCACCACGAGAAACGAAGCAGGACGAUAUCGCAGCAGUUUUUAUUUUAAUCAUACAAUUUUCAAAACUCGACCUCGGGAUAUUAACAUCACGAAAUUCUCAAUAAUUUGUAGCCGAAUAAUAGAGGUAAGGUUUUCAAGACUAGAAUAACUCACUGCAGCUAAAGAGAAAUGAGGCAACAGAGCGGUAGCAACUCCAGCAGCUACCUUGAAUGACGGCGGCAGCCUGAAUCUCUACUGAUAGCAACUGUAACAACCAGGCAGCGACAAUAAUGUUUCCAGAAUUCAAAAGGACAGAAACCAAAUUCAAAAACCUUACCGACAAUGGACCUCAGCUACCACAGCACUUUUUUCCGGUGACGGAGCACGCGACGGUGACGGCGCGAGACUCGGCGACGGUGACGCGAUGGCUCGCCUCCUUCCUCGCGUCGCAUCGUCUCUGUCUCUCUCAAUCUCGGUGUUGCUCUCCCUUUCUCCUUCGAUCUCGACGGCAUCGGACCCACAGCGACGGCGGCAGCGAGGAUAAAUGGCGCAAACACAGCACCGACAACGCUCUCCUUUCUCUCUUCUCCUCUCCACGUUGGCGCCAGUAACGAUGGGCAGCUGGGCGGCGACGACGACACGACGACAGUGAUGUCUGCCGACGCCGUCCUCCCUCUCUUCUCCUCUGUCUCUGUUUCUCCCUCUUUCCCGCCGCUCUCUCUUUCCCCCUUCUUGCUCCCUUUUCUUUCUUUCUUUCUUUCCUGAAGGGUGACGGCUAGGGUUAAAGGGUUAGGGUUUUGUCGGUUUGAUUUUAGGGUUAUGGUUUUAUUUGGAGAAAAUGUGAAAUUAGGGAUAUUAGAAAAAUAUAAUUAAAUUAGGGUUAUGGUUUUAUUUGGAAAAAUUGGAAUUUAGGUAUUUUUAAUAAAACUAGGGAUAUUGUAUUAAAUUUAAAUCUAAUUUAAUCUCUAAAUAUUAUUUUAAAAAAUAUUAUUUAAUUAUUAAUUUGCUAAUUAACUCUCAAUCAAGUAUUCUAAUUUAAAAUAUAAGAUAAUAUAAUUUUUCCGAAAAUUCUGGGUCUUACAGAUGACACUAGUAAUAUGGACAACUCCGUCCAAAUGAUAAAGAUGGUCUGGGAUAUCUCUUAUUAGCAAAGUAUUUGAAUGUUGGAGUCUUUGGGCUGAGGUAUCUCUGGAAUUUGGUGGGAUUGAAUUUUUGAAUUGUAGUUCAAAUGAGCUAAAAUCAAACUCUAUUUAUAGCAAAACUAUUAGUAAAUCGAAUGAGACUCAUUCGAAUUACGAUGGGCGCACAUUGUAUGUAAUUUGAAGCUGCCUAAAUUGAAUUACUAUGUGUAGCAAACUAUGGAUAAAUCGAAACAGGUUGUUUCGAAUUAUUGUGGGCGUACGUGCAUGGGCAAAUCGACCUAUACUACUUCGAUUUACUAGCUGAAUCACGUGCAUGCAUAAAUCAAUACAAUGUGAUUUGAUUUACUAUGAUACGUUACAUGCAUGCAUAAUUCGAUUCACCCUGCUUCGAUUUGCAUGUUUUCAACGUAAUUCGAUUUGGGCUGGUUCGAUUUAGUAGGAAAAUUUGUAAAUCGAACACGCCUCAUUCGAUAUAUAUAGAUACACCCAUUUGGUAGAUCAACGUAACGUUUUUUGGUUUGGGUGAUGAUUUGUGUAAUAUAGGGUUGCAUUUGGUUUAUUUAUGCAUUUUACCCUAUUUUUAAAUAGUGAAUAAUAUGAAUAAAUAGUAACAAGUACGUAUAUAUAAAUAGUAAUAUACGGUAAUUGUAAAUAGUAAAAUAUAAUAUCUGUAAAUAGUAAAAUACAGUAUCUAUAAAUAGUAAAAUAUGGUAUAGCAACAUAUAGAAAAUGACAGUUUGGCAAAAUAUUAGUAUUGACAGAAAAUAACUACAAACAUAGUGUCUACUCUUAGAUUGAUUCUAAUGAAUGGACGGUUAUUUUAUGUAUCAACUAUUUUUUGGUCGGUAUAGUUAUAGCAGUAACUGAAGUUUCACAAAAGUAAAGAUAUUUUAAUCUUUGACAGAAACUCUUCUAAAAAACUUUAAGAGAAAGAAAAUAACAUUAAGAGAAAGAAAAUAACAUGUGUAUGUGUGUGGUACGAAGAAUUGAGAGAGAGAAAUGGGUCCAUACAGGGGAGGGGGAGGUGCUGUUCGUAGAGGAAGAAGAAAAGAAAUUUAAUAAAAUAUUUGAUGCACGGGCACCGGUUGCCAUGAGUCCGCGAAUGGUAAUACCUCACCAAUAGAGAGUGUAGGGCAAGGCGAGUCCAGCCUUCACAGCCUUGGCAAUGACGUGCAGGAGCAUGACGCCGCUCUCCACUGUGAUGGUCUUGGCCUCUGCAUCGACCUUGAGUACCUUGUUGAGACUGUUGGUGCUUAUGAGCAAGCUAUCUUUGCCGUCCAGGCAUGCCAGCUUGGGGAUAUGCUGUGGGAGAGUAGCGGGUGGCGGCUUUCAUCUUUCUGUUAUUCUUGGUGGCUGUGGCCACUAUGGAUAUGAGCUUUUCUCUGUGCUUAGGUACUUCAUCUCUCUUGCUUCGCAGAUUCUUCUAUUAGGGAAUAUGCCAAUGAAGUUGGUUAUCGUGCAGUUUAUGUUCUUUGAUGUGCACUUUACUAGGUCCUCUAGAGGGCUUGAUAUCACUCCGUUAUUCACACAUAGGACCAUUAUUACAAAGAUGACAACAUGAUUGGAUUUCAUCUUUCUAGAGUACAUCAUUGUAUUUUGUACUUUGUGAUGAUGCUAUCUAGCUAGGUUAUUAUUGUUGAACUCUGAUGAUCUACAUUUAUGUACUACUAGAUAAUCAACUAGGGUAUUAGCCAACUACAAACAAGUAUUAGUUGGGCUGCAAAAAAGAUCAGAAAACACAAAAUAUGUAAUCCAUCCCAAAAUGUUAAUUUUACUACCACAAUAAAAAAACAAAAACCAUCUAAAACCCUAAUCACUUCACUUCACUCUCCCACAUCUUUCUUCCAAAAAAAAGCCUCCUUCCGCAGCGCUUUCCUCCGCCGUGCAUGCACUUCCUUCUGCCGUGUGUGUGCUUCCCUCUACCGCGCCCUUGCUUCUCUCCGCCGUGCAUUCGCUUUCCUCCACUGUGCCUUUGCUUCCUUCCGCCGCAUUGUUGCCCCUCUUCCGCGUGUCUCUCUCUGACGUGGUCAGCCUCUUCGCCUUGCUCAUCUUCCUUUACACAUAAUUAUCAAUGACAGAACCUUAUUUUUUGGAGGUUUUGGAUGUUGACUUUUCAGAGUUUUUAGAUGUUGAUGAUUGUUAUGUUUGAUUUUUUGGAUAUUUCUUGAUUUAAGAAAAAAAAUCCAAAACAAAAAAAAGCAUCCAAAAUAUAAUAAAAGAAACAUAUAAAACUAAAUAAAAAGAAACAUCUAAAAUUAUUAUAGAAAGAAUAUUUAAAACCUAACAAAAAGAAACAUUUGAAAUGUAGCAAAAAGAAAUAUCUAAAAUCAUUGUAUAAGAACUUCCAAAGAUCCGGAGAAGAAGUCGUGGAGGUAGGCGUAGAGAGAGACGCAGAGAGAAAUAAGAAGAGGAAGAAGAAGUGACAUGGAAGGAGAGAAGAGAGAUGAACGGGGUGGACGGGCAUGUGGUUUUUUAGCGUAAAAUCAAUUUUUAAAAUUUUAAAACUGUAAUUUUUUGAAAAAUUAACUGCUUAGUUACAUAUAGAGUUGGUUCGAUAGACUUUUUCUUUUUUGACUAAUAUGGAGAGAAUGGAACCAUGGAACCAAAGAAUAUAUUAUAUUAAAGGAUUUUUUCUGAAAUAAAAUAAAAAAAUUAUUAUUUUUUCAAACACGAUUUUUGAACUUUAAUUCUCCAAAUACGAUUUUUUUUAGAGCAAGUUCGCUGCAUCCGACGAACUCUAUAAAAAUUAUAAAGUUCGUCUUACCCUCUCCCGAACUCCAUUCAAAUUUAUAGAGUUCGCCUUACCCUCCCCCGAACUCCAUUCAAAUUUUUAAAAAGCUUUUAAUCCAUAUCGUCGUCUCUAAAAUAGUAUAUAGAUCUCCAAACAGUAUAUAAGAGUACACAAAAAUACACCGACAACAAACAUGGCUUCUUCAAGGAUUUUUUUUAAUUAUAAAUUUAAAAAAAUAAGCCAUAUUUAACAAUGAUAAAUAUAUCAGAUUGAGUUUAGAAAGUUAACAAUGGUAACUAUUAUCAUCAUCUUCACAUUGGUUGCCAUUGCCACCAACAAUGUUGAAGAAAUCAUACUUGUUGUCUGUGUAUUUUUGUGUACUCCUCUAUAUACUGCUUGGAGAUCUAUAUACUAUUUUGGAGACGAUAAUAUCGAUUAAAAGCGUGGGUUUUUAAAAAUUUGAAUGGAGUUCGGAAGAGGGUAAGGCGAACUCUAUAAAUUUAAAUGGAGUUCGGAGAAGGGCAAGGCAAACUUGCUCUAAAAAAAAUCGUAUUUAAAAAAAUUAAAAUUUAAAAAUCAUAUUUGGAGAAGUAAUAAUUUUUUUUAUUUUAUUUCAAAAAAAAAUCCAUUAUAUUUGAGUAAUGUUAUAUGGUUAGUAUGUUUUAUUUUUUUUAUCGACAAUUACUUAAUAAUAUUUAAAAAUAUUAGUUAAAAGAAUAAUAAUAAAUUGUUAGACUAAAAAUAUUAANNNNNNNNNNNNNNNNNNNNNNNNNNNNNNNNNNNNNNNNNNNNNNNNNNNNNNNNNNNNNNNNNNNNNNNNNNNNNNNNNNNNNNNNNNNNNNNNNNNNNNNNNNNNNNNNNNNNNNNNNNNNNNNNNNNNNNNNNNNAUUCUAACUGUUUUUUUUUUAUCUCCUUAAUAUUAUCAUUAUAAAAAAUAUUAAACUCCUAAUAUUUGUGAACAUUGAUUUUCUCGUUAAGUAGCUUGUAAUUAAACUUUUGCAAAUUUACCAGCUAGUUUUAUGUACCAAAUUGAACGAACUAAUUACUUGUAAAUAUGAAUAGGAUUACAGUAGGAUAAAAAACUUCAUUAAUUCAAAUAAAAUUUCAAGUUUACUAUUUUAGUCAAAAUUUAAUCUUUCAAUAAUAGUAGUAUCAAAAUUUCUAAAUCCACAAAUAAACACUUUUUAAGUUUGAACUAAAUUCACAUAAUUUUUACCGUUUUUUUUUUUCUCUCAACAAUCAUCUUGUGUUUUGUGUAUGGUUUAUUUUUUCAAUUAAAUAGGGUAAAAAAGAGAAAAUAGAUAAAUGAAAAAUGAGUAACAUGAAAAACUAAACCUAAUUAACAAUAGAAAAAAAUAUAGAGAACUAAUUAGCCAACAUUAAUAUUUAUAUUUAUAAUUUAGGAUUUAAUUAUAAAUUUAAAGAUUAAUGAUAAUAGAAUUGGUAGCUAAAUAGAUAGUCACAGCAAUGUAAUUGCACUCAACGAUUCAAUUUAGCAAUGGGUAAGCCUAAACCCUUAUUGUUGCGUGCUGUUACCAAAUUCAAUUUGCAUUGUCCCUGCCCGCCCCAUCAGGUGCUGCAGAGAAACAGAGUAUUCCAAGCCAGACAGCCUUUUAAUUCAGCCUUCAUUCAAUUUUUUACUCUAAUAAUAUUAUUGAAUUAAUUUUUUAAUUAAAUCAUUAAAGUUGUUAUUUUUGUAAUUUUAUUUUUAUUUUUUCUUUCUCAAUUUACCGUGCAUAUAUCGUCAUCAUUGUUGUAUUAUUACUGUAUUUUCGCCGUCAUCACUUUUUUUUAUUAAAACAAAGCACAUCUUUCUUUUUUCAUUGAUAGUUGCAUUUGCAUAUCUUCUUUUUUACUAAUAAACAUUAGUUUUUUUCGUAUUAUAAUUUAAUUAAAAUAAAAUAAAACAAAAUGACGAAUUAAUAUAUACAUAGAUUCUCCAUNNNNNNNNNNNNNNNNNNNNNNNNNNNNNUAUAAUACAUCAAAUUUAAUAACAAAUCUAAAAUAAUAUGAUAGUAUAUAAAAUAUUUUUUGAACACCUUCAAAACUCAUACAAACUCAUGGUUAUAAUUUUUAUUAUUAAAUUUUUGAGAAUACUACAUGACUAGCAAAUAUUAUUAUUUUUUGCCAGUAAUAAUGUGUAUCUAGCUAUAUUUACAAAUAUUUUGCACAUAACAAAUAUAUAAUUUGUAUCUAUAUUUAUUAUAAUUUUGCACACAUAAAUCAAUACAAUUUAUAUCUAAAUUUUUUUUGAAUUUACACACAUAAAUUAAUAAAAUUUAUUUAUUAAAAAUAAUUUAGUAUUUAUACUAAUUAAAUGAUGACAAAAAAAUACUAAAAAUUGUUAGCUCCAAGAAUUUUUCUAAAUCUUUAUUAUUACACAUCUUUUUUUUUCCAAAGAUAAUAGGUUAUAUUUCAUUAAUUAUUAAAAAAUGAAAUACAAAGAUAUCCAAAAGUAGAACAGCAUAAUAAAAUGUGGGGAUUUCCCAAAAACACUACAUUGAAGGUAUUCAUCCAAUGGUGCGUGAUCGAAAAACGAAAAAAAAAUCUUAAAGAAGAAAUAAUGAUAAAUCAAAUUGAAUGCAACUAAGAGCUUGUCUCAUGGAGAUUACGACCUAAACUGGGAGUUCUUUGGAUUUCACGAAGUAACUUGACAGAGCUUGCUAGAAUGGCAGACAGCAUAGAAGUAGAACCUUCAAAAAUCAACUGGUUGCGAGCUUUCCAGCAAUUCCAGCAAAUGAUGGCAAGCAAUUGAGGAUUACGGUCAGCAUUCUUCAACGGGUUAAGUAUCUCUGUUGAUGCAGUCCACCAUGUCCAAAAGUCGUUAGAACUCUGAGGGGGAAGACAGUCACGAAGAUAACUCUGAGACCAUACGUCUUUAAUUCUAGAGCAAUCGAUCAGACAAUGAGUGACUGUUUCCGUUGCUUCAUGACAGCAAGGGCAUAUUGGUGAUAUAGAUGGGAUGCGGUGAUGAAUCUGAGCAAGCACCGGAAGUCGGCCAUGGAGAGUUUUUCAGAUAAAUAGCUUAAUUUUGUGAGGCAAGUUCAACUUCCAUAGAUCAAUCUACGGCUUUUUCUGCUGCAUAUAAUUAGGGCAAAGCUCCAGAGGCGGAUGGUAAAAUAAAUAGCCAAUUCUAUAACCUGAAGCUGUAUCAUAUUGCUUAGAUUUGUUCAAAUCUCAUUGCAAUUUGUCCCUACUCUGCUGAAUUUUAACUGACAAAAUCCUGUUUGCAACGUCUUGGGGAAAUAAUUCUUGAAUGAGAUUCUGAUUCCAAUUUCUAUCUUCAGUAAUUAGAUCUUUAACUCUUGGAACCAACUCAGAAAUAGCCUGUCUAUUUGGCAUGUCAGAAAUCAUUAAAGGAUACGGAGGAGGCAGCCAAGGAUCCUCAAAGGUUCGGAUAUUCUCACCAGUACCCACAACUCAAUUAAGACCUUUUUCAACAAUCUUUCGGCCUUCCAGUAUGCUCCUCCAUCCCCAAGAAGGUAAGACUCCAAUUUCUGCCGUUAUAGCAUUACCAUUGCUAAAGUAUUUACCUCUUAAGAUUUUGGAUAAUAAGGAAGUAGGCUGUGUUACAAGUUGCCAAAACUGUUUGCCUAAAAGUGCCAGAUUUUGGAUUCUGAGAUCUUUAAAUCCAAGGCCUCCUUCUUUUCGUGGGCGAGUCAUAGUGUCCCAGCUAAUCCAAGCCAUCCUCCUUUCAGAACCUUUUUGUCCCCACCAUAACUGAGAAAGUAGAGAGUGAAUUUCCGAAAUUAAACCAUCAGGCAACUUAAAGCAAGACAAUAUAUAAAUAGGAAUAGCUUCUCCCACUGCCUUAAGCAAUACGUGUCUACCACCUGACGAAAGAAGAUUGCGCUUCCAUCCUUGGAUUCUUUUCCAAACCUUUUCUUUGAUCAUACUAAAAGAAGCCUUUUUCGAUUUAGAGACUGUAGAAGGCAAACCAAGGUAUUUAUCCUGAGCCCCAAUAUGAUUAAUAUUCAUAGAGUUAGCCAGUAGUGUACGAGUAGUGGACGGAGUGUUGUGGCUAAAGAAUACAGCAGAUUAUUAAGAUUUACCCUCUGGCCACUGAUGCUUUCAUAAGAAUUCAAUAAAUGCAAGAUAUUUGAACAUGCUUCAGGAUUAGCCUUACAGAAUAAAAUGGAAUCAUCAGCAAACAGGAGGUGGUUGACCUUGGGACAUCGCAUAUGUAUCUGAAGACCCUGAAUUAGUCUGUUUUGUUCUGCCUUGUGUAACAAGAAGGAGAAACCUUCUGCACAAAAAAGAAAAAGAUAGGGGGAUAGAGGAUCUCCUUGUCGAAUACCUCUAUUUGGUUUGAAGAAACCAUAAGGUUGUCCUUCCACAAUAACAGAAUAAGAAACAGUUGUCACUAAUUCUCGAAUCCACAUGAUCCAUCGGGAGUCAAAACCAAACUUCUCCAAUAUAAACCAAAGAAAGUGUCAUUCCACCCUAUCAUAUGCCUUACUCAUAUCUAAUUUUAGCGCCAUUUUAUUUUCGAGACCCCUUUUUGUUCUUCAAGUAAUGCAUACACUCGUGAGCAAUUAGGAUAUUAUCAGAGAUUAAUCUGCCUUUAAUAAAAGCACUCUGCGUAGGGCUAAUUAGUCUAUUCAUCAUACCCUGAAGCCUAUGUACAAAUACUUUGGAGAUAAUCUUGUAAAAGACUGAAGAUAGACUUAUUGGUUUUAUCUGAGUCAUAUCUUUAGCAUCAGAAAUCUUGGGAAUAAGACAGAUCUGAGUGUGGUUAAAACCCUUCAAGAUUCUACCCCCAGAAAAGAAGCUCUUAACUGCUCAAAAUACAUCACCACUAAGUAUGUUCCAGAAGCUUUGAAAAAAUUUUGCUGUCAUACCAUCAUCUCCUGGAGCACUUUGAGGAUGAAUGCUAAAUGUUGUGCGUUUCACUUCCUCCAUAGUCACUGAUCUUUGAAGCCUACGGUUCAUGUGAGCUGUAACCUUAGGUUCAAAAUCAAUAAACAGAGGUUCAGGGUUCUCAUGACAAGUGGAGGAAAAGAUGUCCUUGAAAUAAGAUUCAGCCACAGAAGCAAUACCAACAUUUGAAGUAGCCACUUCACCAUCACUGCCAGUUAGUUGCCAAAUUCUAUUCCUUCGGGUUCGGUUUCUAAAUUUCUGAUGGAAGAAAGCUGUAUUCUGAUCACUAGAUUUGAGCCAUUUGACUCUAGACUUAUCUUUCCAAUAAGAUUCCUCAUUUUGCAAUGCUUUUUCAAGUUUGUCCUCUAUUUCUGAAAUGAUGUCGCCUCCAUGAAUUCCUGCUAAACGAAGUUCCUCUAAUUCCGACUGUAGUAAAUCAAUCUCCACCUUCGAAUUAGAUCUGUGUUCUUGCUGCCAUCUGACAAUCUUAUGCCGACAACGCUUUAUUUUUUGAGCUAGGAUAUACAUGGCUGAACCAUCAAUCUGUUCAUGCCAAACCUCUCUAACAAUCUGCCUUAUUUCAUCAUUGGAACACCAUCUUUCUUGGAAUUUGAAUCGGCGUUUAGAUCUCUCAGUUCUCGGAUUAGAGUAUAGGAGAAGAGGGCAUGAUCCGAGCCUGAUUCUGACAGUCUAAGAACCGUUGCAUUGGGAUAGAGUUGCUGCCAAUCAACUCCUACCAGGAAUCGGUCCAGUCUUUCCUGUAUCAACUCAUCACCCCUCCGUCUAUUUGAUCAAGUGAAUGGUCUUCCGACCAUACCAAUAUCAAUCAGGGAAUUAUCAUCAAUAAAACUAUUAAAGGUUUCAAUAGGAGAAGGAGAUUUAGCACCCUCACCUUCUUUCUCCAAUUGAUUAGAAAUGUCAUUAAAAUCCCCCAUUAACACAACCUUACCAUCGAACUGUUGGGUGACUGAAGUUAAUUCAGCAAAUUGAGCCAUUCUAUGUUGAUCAUUUGAACUGAGAUAAACACCUAGAACACCAUAGGGAUCAUUAGAACCAGCUGUCAGAACUGAUGCCGCAAUGAAAAAUCUACCAUGCUGUAAAAUCUGAACAGUGCAACCAUCCCUCCAUGCCAUUGCCAAACCCCCUGAUAAUCCAUCCGGAUCUACAAUAAACCAUUCCUUGAAACCACAAGAUGUUAGUUUUCCUUCAACUUGUCGAGAUUGAUUUUUUGUUUCACAGAUAAAACCAACCUCGGGGGAGUAGGAUUUGCAAAUCCCUUUAAGAUUGUGGAUUGUCAGGGGCCUCCCCAAACCCCGACAAUUCCAUGAGAGCAGUUUCAUAUUUCUUUGGGUGCCACUUGAAGGCCGGCACCCUCCACCGUCAUAGCAAUUAUAUGAGGGUUCUGAGUCUCUUAUUUGUUGCUCAUGGUGUAGAGAAAAUCAGAAUUGGUAUUCAAUGAUUCCAAAGAGACAUAAGAUAUAUGGAAUGAGUGAAUUAGAAAACGGAAUGAAUUAAAAGAGGAAUGAAUUGGGAGAGAAAACGAAAAUUAGGGAGCUAAGUGGAAAAGAAAUUAAGAAAAGAAAGUAGAAGAAGAUGGAAAAGAGUUUGCCGAAGAAAAGACAAAAAAAGGUGUAACCAUGGAGGCGGUGCAGUGAAACUGUUGGUUUAUGGUAUAACCAGAAAUAUUUAGGACAGAGAUAUAAGAAAAAUACGUAGGUGAAAGGAAUGGGAAUCACUCAUUUUUACUUUACUGAAGCAGUACAUUUAUAGGAUUUUAAUCCAUGACACUACCACAUCACCACUAAACUAGGAAGUGGGAUGAACAGAAACUGCCACAUACCCACUAGAUAAGGAAGUGGAAUAACAAAAACUACUUUUCUCCUAAAGUGCAGGAACCACUAAUUGACUAAAACAACAAACUGAAACAAUAAUAAAAAAAACUUAAUGCAGUCCAAAAGCAAAUAAUUAACACUCCUCCUUGCUUUAGGAUCUGCAAACUCCAAUUUUCUGCCUCAAUAGCUCAAACUUGCUGACAGGAAGUGGCUUUGUAAACAAAUCUGCCUUUUUCCAUUUUGGAUCCUUGAGUGCUUCUUCACAGCAACUAGGUUCGCAUACUACUACAUUGCAUCUUUGAUAAAUGUCUGACAGCAGUCUUGUGCCUCUGAUGGGAUGAUCAUCUUCUAAUUCAUUUUGACACAACUCUGUUGUUUGGUUUCCGCCAUAAUCAUCUUCAAUAUUGUUACAAGGUUCAAUUGUUUUUCGUGGGUUCUUCCAAUCCCAUUGUUGAUCUUCAUUGAAAUGGACAAGCUUUUUACAAAGCCUAUGCUCAAUAGGUGUUCAUUUAUCCUACUGUACCAAGCUCUUGGUGCUUGUUUUAAUCCAUAAAGGGCUUUUUUUAGUAGAUAGACUUUAUCUUCUUCUCCAUGCAUAACAAAUCCCUCUGGCUGCUCCACAUAUAUCUCUUCUUGUAAAACUCCAUUUAAAAAAGCUGAUUUGACAUCUAAAUGGAAUACUUUCCAGCCUUGUUGAGCAGCAACUGCUAACACCAAUCUAAUUGUAUCUAAUCUGGACACCGGUGCAAACGUGUCAGAAUAAUCAACACCAAAAAUUUGUGCAUACCCUUUUACUACAAGUCUGGCCUUGUAUUUAUUGAUAGAGCAAUCCGCAUUAAGCUUUGUUCUGAACACCCAUUUAACUCCAAUAACUUUUCUGUCUUAAGGCUUGUCAACCUUUUUCCAUGUGUUGUUUUUUUGAAUCAUUGAAAUCUCAUCCUCCAUUGCCUUUUUCCAUUUUGGAUCCUUGAGUGCUUCUUCACAGCAACUAGGUUCGCAUACUGCUACAUUGCAUCUUUGAUAAAUGUCUGACAGCAGUCUUGUGCCUCUGAUGGGAUGAUCAUCUUCUAAUUCAUUUUGACACAACUCUGUUGUUUGGUUUCCGCAUACCUUAGCUUGUAUAUUUGAACUUAAUGGGGCAAGAGUUUUAUGAAAACGUGUAUUCUGAGUAUGAAUUAUUCAAAGAUGGAUAUUUUUAUUUCGUUGCUAUCCUUCGCUAAUUAAUUAAGAGGACCCAGGUCGAUUAAAUUGGCUCUGUAUUUUACAGUUCCAUAUAUAAUAAAAUGAUUUUUUUUUUUCAGAUUUCCGUUUGCUUACAUGUGGAAGGUUCCUUUGUUUUUUUCACGGUGCACACAAAAGAAAAAAAAAAUUAGUUAUUUCCCUUCCCUUGCCUCCUCCAGUUUAGACGACUAAUAGCAACAAUUGAAAGACAUCACAAUUUAUAAUACUGAAGAUUAAAUUAAUUACGUUAUAUUAAAUGUAUUUUAUGUUAUUUUCUUUAUUUAAAGCAAAAUUGUUUAUGUUUCCACUAUAUCGUCUUAAUUAUUAGAUAAAAAAGCAACUAAUUUGCAAUUAAAGAAAAAUUUAAGUCAAUUAUAUCGUAAAAAAACUUAUAUAUAUUAUGAAAAUUUAAGCGCAACACAUAUAAGAAUGAUAAAAUAUCAAAAUAAAAAACACAUUAAAAUUUGACAGUGAUAAAAUUAAAUAUGCUUGAACAACAAUUUACUCACAGACACUCAAAAAAAAAAAAUUAAUUACUCCAUUAUCCUCAACUAAUUUUAAUUUUUUUUAUUUAUUUUAUAUUUAAAAUUAUAAAUUUUUAACCUUAAUUAGACUCUAAAUUAUAAUUUCUAAACCCUAAAUUCUUCAUAAAAUAAAAAUUUUUAGAAUUAAAAAAAUUGACUAAUGUUAACGAAUUAAAAAUUAAUUUCUAAUACUUUUUGACAUAAAAAGAAAAAGAAAAACAUUUUUUUUUUCAAUUAGUAGAAAACAUAACAUUUAAGUUAUAUUUGUUUCUAAGCAUAAGAUGCUAAAAUAUAAACACAAAAAUAUAAAAUUAUAUUUGAGAGAUGUUAAAAGAGACAGAGACAUACCUCAAAAUAUGGAAUUAGUGUAUUUUGUAUCUUUACGAACAGAAAUAACACAAACACUAAUUUAUAAUUAUAAUUUGUUUUUUUACUAAGAGAUACAAUUUAUUUUUUUAUAUUUUUUCUUUCAUUAUUUCUAUUAUCUUUUAUAAUUAUAAAUUUUAUUAUUAUAUUUUUCUUCUUAAAUANNNNNNNNNNNNNNNNNNNNNNNNNNNNNNNNNNNNNNNNNNNNNNNNNNNNNNNNNNNNNNNNNNNNNNNNNNNNNNNNNNNNNNNNNNNNNNNNNNNUUAAAUAUUUUGGAUAAAAAAAUAAAUUAAAUUUUUAAAAUUUAUUCUUUCUUAUAUUUAACUUAUCAUCAAAUAAAAUAAUUUUGUGUCUUUAUUCUUUAUAUCUCAUCCUCAAAAUCUUUAUCUUAUUUUGUUAUGAGAAUCAACGUGUCUUAUAUUAUGCACGCUAGACUGCUAGAGUCCCUUGGGAUGCCUAGUCAUACGAAUAUUAUAGCCCAUGUCUUCAGUUUUUACAGCCUCACUCUUCUUAAUUUUGUUGUUGUGAGGCUUCAGCUGCUGCGAUUGUUUUGGUUAAGUUCAUUCCCUUGGAGAUAUUCUUAGGUUUGCUGAGAUCAGCCAUGUAGAUCGAUAUAUCAAUCAAUGCAAUCGAUCAUAAUAAUAGUAAUAAUCACUACCAGAAAUGCGGUGAUUAGCCACGGAAAAAAUCGUGGCUAAAAUCAAGAAAUUCCGUAGCGAUUAAGCUUUAACAACGAAUACAUUUCCGUGGCUAACAAGGACGACGCCUUUUCAGUUAGCCACGAUUUUCAUCCGGUUAGCCAUAGUUUUAUGAUCCGUAGAGACAUCUGAAUAGCCACGGUUUUUACGUUAUUGGCCACACUCUAAACCGUAGCUAAAUGACAACAGUGUAACCAAGUAUAGCUUUGCGACAAUUUUUCCGUGGCUAAUAUUGGUAAGCUGGGCUUUUUUGCCACAUUUUUUCCGUAGCCAAUAUUGGUAAGCUGGGCUUUUUUGCUACAUUUUUUCUGUGGCUAAACAUUGUUGGGUUAUUUAGCCACGAUUUUUUCGUGGCUAAUCAUAAAAGAUAAAUUAAAAAAUAUAUAUAUAUAAAAUAAAGAUGCUACUUAGAACAAAAUUAUAUUAUACAAAAUUAAAAAGAUUAGCCAUAUCCAUAUAAGUAAUAUUUUUAGUAAUAAAAAUAUGAAAUUUAAGUAACAAUGUUGAAAAGCAAAUAUCCUGAACUAAAUGAGUUUAAACUAUUACAAAAUCAAGUAUCAAAAUGUAUCAUUAUUAGAUCUCUAAGGUCUUCAUUGGAAUACUUGCAAAAACAUUCAAAUAAGAUUGUGUUAUCUCUUAAUUCAUGAAAAAAAGUCCCAAGACAUUAUUUAAAAUAAUAUUUUAAUGUAGUUAAAAAAAAGUAGGAAUGCAUACCAAUAAUGCUGAGUUUUCAUUUUCACAACAUAAAACAUCUUAUUGAACCCGUCAUCAAUCAAUAUAUAUAUUGCUAGACUUGAUAUCCUGGUGAACAACUUUCAAUUCAAUUGCUUCAUACAAGUAAAUGAGCAAGCCUGUCAUGAAUAAAGAUAAAAUAGAUAGUGAUAUUAAUGAUAUUUUCUCAUAUUAAAACUUAACUAUAGUAUUAUUUAACGAGACAAACGAAUACUAUUAGCGAGAUAUUGGAUUGCAAUCAAAACCAUUUAGAGAAAAAGAACUUAAAGUAAAAAUAAAAAUGUGUUAGAAAUUACUAAGGUCAAUAUUUUAAAGUAGAAAGUUGAGCUUACCAGGUAACUAUCGAAUAAAACUUUCAUGCGGACCUCCCAGGUAAGUGUCCCUUGUUCCAUGGCAACAUGCAUCCAUUACUCUAAGUUACCAUUAUUGACAUAUUCAUCCAUUAGCAGCUUAAAUAUUGAAACAAACACUAAAGCAAAAAUACUAUUGAUAAUACAAAGAAAUAGAUAAUUAGAUACUAUGUACUCGAAAAUUGUGAGAGCACAUAUAAUAACUUAAAGAAGUGCAACUUUAUUCAACGUUGGUAUCAGGACCUUUAACACUGUCUUCUACUUAGUUCAAAUUUAUCCAUAUUCAUAUAAGUUUCAAUAAUUACAAAGUUACAAAGCUAAAUUAAAAGUUGAACAAUUUAAAAUAAAACACAAACUUGCAUGGAGAUCCCAGCAUCGACAAGAGACAAAGUUGCAGCAUUGAUACACACAGAUCUAGUUCCUACACAGGAAUAUUGGGGAAGAAUUAGUGAAUGGUAAAAAAAAAUAGUCUUUUAAAUACAAAAAAAAUUAAAGAUUCAAGAGAAUAUUAGAUAAAUAUAAAAAAAGCUGCUUAGGGUUCUUUCCAUUCUUCUUUGUAAUUCAGGAUUACCUGCAAAAUCUUCGAUUUUCGCUAUUUUGGGACCUUCUUUGGUAAUUUAACGUUGAAUUUACUAAGGAUACAGAGAAAAUGAACAAUAGUAUGAACUGUGAAGGAGUUCUUCCAAUUUUCCAGUGAGUGGGCUUUACUUUGGUGUUGAGUGAAAAUUACUUUUAAGUUUUUCGCCCAAAAUUUCACUUGUAAAAGUUCAUUUGAAUUUAUUUCAGUCAAGUAAUUGAGAUUUUUAAUUUAAAUUAAUAGUUAACUAUAAAAAAUAUAUAAAUUAUAAUAUAUACCAUAUUUCAAAGACGAUACAUACUAAUUACUGUUACGUUAAUUUAUGUUGGAUAUUUUUUUUUACUAAAUUGAUAAAAAGAUAAUAAAAAAAUAAAAAAAUUAAAUUUAGAAAAACUAAUGCAUAUUGUAAAUUAGAGACAAAAAAAAUGUACUCUUUUUUAUCAUGAAUUUUAUAUAUACUUUUAACAUUCAUUCUCAAUUAAUUAAAGCAAUAAGUAUGUAUUCUUUUUAUACUAUUUUAACUAAUGCAUCUUCUAGUCACAAAAAAAACUAAUGCAUCUUCGGUUACUCAAUGCUGAAUUUACUAAGGAUACGGAGAAACUGAACAAUAGUCUGAACAUGUGAGAGAAUUCUUCUGAUUUUCUAGUGAGUGGGCUUUACUUUGGUGCUAAGUGAAAGUUAUUUUUUUCCGUCUAAAAUUUUACUUGUGUAUUGUAAAUGUUCAUUUGAAUUUAUUUCAGUCAAGUAAUUAAGAUUUUUAAUUUAAAUUAAUAAUUAACUAUAAUAAAAAAUACAAAAUUAUAAUUAUAUAUCAUAUUUCAAAGACGGUACAUACUAAUUAGGAUUAUGGAUUUUGACUCGAAUUUAAAAAAUAAACGAAAAAAAAUAUUAAAAUUUUGUAACUAUUUCAAAAAUAAACCUACGUUAACUUAUGUCGGAUAUUUUUUUAUUAAAUUAAUAAAAAAAUAAAAAAUAGGAAAAUUAAUACAUAUUGUGAAUUAGGGACAAAAAAAUGUACUCUUUUUAUUAUGAAUUUUAUAUUUUUAUCAUCCAUUCUCAAUUAAUUAGAGUUAUAAGUAUGUACUCUUUUUAUAUUAUUCCAACUAAUGCAUAUCUUAUCAAUUGAAAAUGGCUGGGAAGGAGAGAGAAAAAAUCAUCGACAAACUAGAUAAGUCUGCACCCUUAAAAAUUAAAAUUUAUUAUUAAAGUUUAAAUUUGGAAAAAAUAGGAACUGCCUAUAAAAUUUUUGAAAGGAAUGGAAGGAAACACUAGAAGCGCAUAAUUUAAAAGUAGACAUGUUUGAUUUCGGCUACGGUGAGCAUUGGGUCUGUGGUAAUUGAGAGAAUCCGAUUCAAAUUGGCCACAGACAAACAAGAACGUGGGAAACUUUCGCACAAUUUAACCACGGAAAAGCAAAACGUUGCAAGUGAUUACGACGAUCAUGAAAAUUUGCCACUGUUUUUUGUUCGUGAGUAUUUUCCCGUGGUAAACUAUCGUGUUUCUGGUAGUGAAUAUUGUGAUUGUGAUCAAUGAAAAUGUUCAAUUUGAAAUACAAUAUUCUUGUUUUGGUGUGCUCUUCAAACUCCACAAAAUGACUAUAUAUAGAGAGCGGCUAGGGUUUUAUACAUGACUGACGUGGCAUAUAGUAGCAAUUAACAGGGCAAUUCUCCUUUGGCAAAAUGUGCUUUAAUUUGUAUGUGUAAUUUAGAAAAAUUAAUACAUACUGUGAAUUAGGGACAAAAAAAUGUACUCUUUUUAUUAUGAAUUUUAUAUUUUUAUCAUCCAUUCUCAAUUAAUUAGAGUUAUAAGUAUGUACUCUUUUUAUAUUAUUCCAACUAAUGCAUAUCUUAUCAAUUGAAAAUGGCUGGGAAGGAGAGAGAAAAAAUCAUCGACAAACUAGAUAAGUCUGCACCCUUAAAAAUUGAAAUUUAUUAUUAAAGUUUAAAUUUGGAAAAAAUAGGAACUGCCUAUAAAAUUUUUGAAAGGGAUAGAAAGAAACACUAGAAGCGCGCGUAAUUUAAAAGUAGACAUCGUUUGAUUUCGCCACGGUGAACAUUGGGUCUGUGGUAAUUGAGAGAGUCCAAUUCAAAUUGGCCACAGACAAACAAGAACGUGAGAAAUUUUUGCACAAUUUAACCACGAAAAAGCAAAACGUUGCAAGUGAUUACGACGAUCAUGAAAAUUUGCCACUACUUCUUGUUCGUGAGUAUUUUCCCGUGGUAAACUAUCGUGUUUCUGGUAGUGAAUAUUGUGAUUGUGAUCAAUGAAAAUGUUCAAUUUGAAAUACAAUAUUCUUGUUUUGGUGUGCUCUUCAAACUCCACAAAAUGACUAUAUAUAGAGAGCGGCUAGGGUUUUAUACAUGACUGACGUGGCAUAUAGUAGCAAUUAAAAGGGCAACUCUCCUUUGGCAAAAUGUGCUUUAAUUUGUAUGUGUAACCUAACUUGUCAAAGGAGAUAAGCACCAUAACUGGUUUGAUCCCUACUAAGAAUUUGUUUGGAUGAGUUUCUAAAAAAAAUAUUUUUUUAGUUAUUUUUUUUAAAAAAUCUUAUCAAAAAGUAAAAAUAAUUUUAUGUUUAGGUAUAAUUAACAAUAUAAAAGUACUUUUUUUAUUUAUUAUGUAAAAAAUAUAUUUUUUUUAAAAAAAUAUAUUUUAAAAAAGAUGUAAAUUGUAACUUCUUAAAAAAGAUUUUUUUCUAGUACUUUUACUUUUAUUACUAGAAAUCUGCCAAAUACGUUAAAAAAUAAAGAAAGAACUUUUUUCAAUAAAAAAAUCUUUUUUUAUCAAGAUAAUAACAUCCAAACAAACACUAAAUAUUUAUUCUAUAGUACAAGCAAAAAGCAUUUUUUUUUGGGUAAUGCUAAGGAGAAAAAAAAAACAGCCAGAACUUAUCUUAUUUAGUAUUCAUUAAUUAUCGUAAUAAUUAAUAAAUACUAAAUAAGACAAGUUAUAGUUAUUUUUGGUUAAUUUUCUUUGGUUAUCGAAACAUUUCUCUUUACUAAUUAGAGAAAAUAUCAUUCCCCUUCCCUAUGAGAUACUAAAAUGUCACUCCCUUCCCCUCUAUUUAUAAAAUGUAUAUUCUCCUUCUUUAUAACUUUUAAAAAACUUCAUCUUUAAUUCAUUUUAAAUUUUGUGUGAAUUAAUGUUAAUUUUAUCCAUUUUUCAAGAAAAAAUAAAUUAUAUUUUAUAAAAAUAUCCUUUAGCAAAAAUUUUAUUUUUUGUGAUUAAAUUUUGUAUACCAAAAUAUUCUUUAACAAAUUAUUUUUCUAGUGAUUGAAUUAUAUUCUUACCAAAAUAUUCUUUAAAAUAUUUUGUAAUGAUUAAAUUAUUUUUUUACUAAAAUACCCUUCAAUAUCAUUUUUCUAGUGAUUAAAUUGUGAUAUCAAUACAUAUUAUUUUAACAUUAAAUUAAAGAGAAAUUCUCCACAUACAAGCAUUUUUUUAUACAAGUCUUUACAAGUUAUUAUAUUAACGCGCUUGAACUGUUACUGUACGUUCUUCUUCCUCUUCCUCUUCUUCUUUUUUUAUUUCGUUUCUUGCUUUCUCUUUCUCCUUCAACCGUUACUGCACAAUUUCACUGCACCGUCGUCUUCUUCUUGCUGCACAUUCUUCUUCCUCUUCCUCCUCCUCUUCUUCUUCUUCUUCUUUUCUUUCGUUUUUGUAAAAAAUAAUUUAGUUUUUCUUGAAAAUAGAUAAAAGACAUUAGUUAACACAAAAGAAUUUAAAAUAGAUUAAAAUGAGAUUUUUUAAAAUCUAUAAAAGAGGAAAAUAUACAUUUUAUAAAUAAAGAGAAAAAAAUAUUAUUUUAGUAUCUCCUAGGAGAAGAGUGGUAUUUUCUCUACUAAUGACCAAUCAUUGCACUGUUUUAAAACUACUACACAAAAGUCAAAACUCUUCCCUUCAAAAGGUUAUGUCUUUUAAUUUGCACCACUUCAUAUUGAAAAACCUCCCUAUAAAUAUUAAUAAUUCUUCAUAGCUCCAUCAUUCCAUAACCAUUUCAAGAACUAGAAAGAUGGCAGAAAAAGAAACCGACCAAAUUUCUUCAUUACCCGAAGAGCUUCUUCUCAACAUUCUUUCCUCGCUUCCUUUCAAAGAAGCAGCGAAAACAUGUAUCCUCUCCAAGAAGUGGUUCAAGAUGUGGCAAUCUACCAACACAGUGAAGAACAACCAACUCGAAUGCAAGAAGGUAGAAGCUUAUGGAGCCGUUGAAGUACCGCAAAGGAAGUCUUUCAAGAACUUCAUCAAGAUCUGGAUCACAUUGUACAAAAAUCACCAUCUCCACGACAAAUUCACCCUCAAGGUUUCUCCUCCUUCGAACUGCGGUGACAUCGUUGGAGCCUCCGUCGAUUUCGCCGUAGAGGACGGCGUGAAAGAUUUGGAACUCGAUUUCGCCGAAGCGCAGUGGGAGGACGAACAUCCUGAAGAGAAUAUCCACGAUGCCUCGGUUGAAUUUCCGAGACACCUUUACGAGAACAAGAAACUGCACCAGAUGCUCGAGAGUUUGAAACUGCACUCGUGCAGUUUCGCGCCUGCAAAUUUCGCCAAGUUUGUGGCACUGAAAGAUGUGACUCUUGCUUGGAUUCCGUUGCAACUGGAAUCGAUUAGGACGCUGUUAUCGACGUGCGAGUGGAUCGAGAGUUUGAGCCUGAAGAACUGUUGGGAUAUUGAAUCCUUUGAUGUAAAGAAAUUGGAACUGAAGAAGUUGGUGAUUGAUAGGUGCAUAAUUGGAACAGAUUAUAUUGGUUUUGAGGCGCCAAAUUUGAAGGUUUUCAAGUACUGUGGUUCAGUGCCGCCGGUGUCUGAAGUGAAGGUGGAAGCUGGUACCAUGGAGGAGGCAGAUCUUGAUUUAAGCCCCAUGGAUGAGUUCUUUGAAUGUGGCAACGAACUUCAGAAUUUUCUUCAAGAUUUCUUUGCGGUCAAUGUUCUUACAGUUUGCAGCGUGAUUCUUCAGGUACUUCGUAUAUGUGUGUUAUUGCAAAGGUUUCUUUGGUUUUGGGAAUAGUAAUAGUUAGAAAUGGUAGACUGUAAGACUAUAUUUCAUUACUAAAUUUCUAGCUUUAUAUUUAAGUAUAUAUACUAAUACUAAUAUAGUAACUAAAACGUUUUUUAUAAUUUUAUUAAUUUGUUAAUGAAUGAAAGGUGAUUCCUUCGGGAGAUGAACCCGUGAGGCUACCAGGGGGUUUGAGGGUGAGACACUUGAAGAUGAAAAUCCAAAUGCAUCCCCAAGAAUUUUGCGGAUUCCUUUGGUUUCUCAACAGUUGUCCUAGGUUGACCAAAGUAGCAACAAGCGACCAACUCUAUGCAUGCUCCUAUUUCAUCAGUGCGGCUUCAAUUUUGACGAAGCUCAGCAUCAAUGUCUUGAAGAACAAGAAUGAUGACCCUAACACGGUGGAGAUGCGUCGUAUUUUAGCAUCGCAAUUGCUCCGUAUUCCAAAGGCUUCAAGAGUUUUGGCCAUAAUAAUUCGUUGACUGUUAUUAUGGUUGGGAGAAAACUCUCUGUUAAUAGAUAAUAGAGAUGCGAGUUAUAUAUAUGGUUAAGGAGUACACUGAUAAAUAAGUCUGUACAGUAAUUUUUCCCCUAAUACCUGGCCUACUGAUGAAUUAGUAGAUGUAUCCUAUGAAAUUUUAAUAUAAUAUUUGGUAAUUUGUGUUGUGAUAAAUAUAAAUUGAUGUCCAUUUAAUAUAUUGUGAUUUUUUUUACAAUGUUGGGCGGUUAAUUUUUUUGAUACAAAAAUUUAGUUUUUCAAUAAAGACUAAACUUUAUGAAGUUUGAAAAAUAAAUAUUUUGUCCACGUAUAAAUAGUAAUAAAAUCUGAAGUAUAUGACACACAACAAUAAUAAAAUACUUUUCUCUUUUUUUACAUGCUACGAUAAUUAUAUAAACAUUCUUCUCUCUUUUUUAUAUAUACAUUACUACAUAUUAGUAAUAUAUAUAUGAAUCAUUUCUAUUAUAUUAAGAUAUUAAUUACGGUGAACAUUAAUAUUAGAUUUAUUUUUUUACAUUUUUUAUUUUAUAUUUAUUUUCUUUUUUUUAUUUAUUUAUUUUACAACACACUAUCAGCACGAGAUUCUGAUCAAAAUUUAGGAAGACUCAGGUAAUAAAUUUUUAUUAUGUCAAAUUAAAGCUCUCUUAUCUUAAAUUUAAUACUCUUGAUAUAUUUGAAAACAACUACUUAUCAUGGAUACUAGGUGCCGAAAUACAUCUUGAUUCAAUGGAUCUUUAGAGAUGCCAUUAAGGUUUCAAAAAGAUAAAGCCAAAGUUAUGAUCUUCUUUCGUCGUCACCUUGACGGAAGAUUGAAAAAUAAAUAUCUCCCACUAAAACAUUCUACAGAUCUGUGGAAAAACCUUGAAAAAAGGUAUAAUCAUAAAAAAAAUAGUGAUACUCCUCAAACCCAAUAUGAGUGGACACACUUACGUCUACAGGAUUUUAUAUAUAUCCAUAAAUAAAUACACAAUUCAGCAAUGUUCCGAAUUACCUCAUGAAUAAAAUUAUGUGGGAAAAAGAUAAAUUAUAAUGACAUAUUAGAAAAAAAUUUUUCGACCUUUUAUGACUCGAAUGUGCUCCUGCAACAACAAUAUCGAGAAAAAGAAUUUAAAAAAUAUUCUGAGCUAAUUUUUUGUCUUCUUGUUGCUGAAUACAACAAUGAGUUGUUUUUAAAAAAUCAUGAAGCGCGCCCAGUUGGCGUCGCCCCAUUUUCUAAAGCAAAUGCAGUAAAUCAUUACUUCAAAAGAGAUAAAUGGCAUGAUUUUGGUAACAAGAAAAAUUAUGUUCACAAGAAAGGAUCUCAUCAGAAGUGGGAUAAAGAAAAAAAAUAAUGGGCAAAAUAAACCAACAGUGGAUAAAUAUUUCCAUUGUGGUGGAAAGGGCCACGUAUCUGUCGUACCCCAAGGCACUUAGUUGAUCUUUAUUAAGCAUCUUUGAAAAAGAAUGAAAAAGGAAAGAAAACAAAUUUUGUUUCAAAUGAUGUUGCUAAAAAUUACACCACUCAUUAUGAAGUAUUUGAUUUCUUUGAGGAUCUUGAAGGAAAUAUUGGUCAUCUGAUCAAUGAUGAAAAAGUCUAAUAUGUGGGUUUGUUCAGUACUCAUGUAAAUAAAUAAUGUAAGAAACUUCUUGUUAAAUUUUAUUUUCUACGUGUUUGGAUUUUAAAUAUGGAUAAGUAUUAUUUUAGUCCCUAACGUUGAGGGUCAGAAUCAAAACCGUCCCCAACAUAAUUUUUUAUUUAGAAUCAUCCUUAACAUUUUUUUCGUAUUAAAAUCGUCUUUUUUAACUUUUUCUGGACAAAAAUACUCUCAACUACUAUCAGCACCUUUACUUCUACCACCACCAUUAGUACCUUUACUUCCACCACCACCAGCACCUUUACCUCCACCACCAAGAAAAACAACAUCAAUGAAAUCAACAUAAAUUCAACAAAUCAAGGAAUCGAAAAUUCAACAAAUCAACACAAAUUCAACAAAUUUAACAAUCAAAUCAACACAUAAUAACAUUAAAAUCAGAAAACAACAAAUCAAAAUCAGAAGCAGAAGCAGAGGCAGUCACAGAAGUAGAGAAAGCAAAGGCAGUCACAGAAUUAGAAAACUUAUCAUGCUCCUUGAUUUUAUUUCUGAUUAAAAGCAAGAAAGCAAAAACAGAAGCAAAUUCAAGAAUCGGGAAGCAAAAAGCAAGAAGUAGAAGCAAAAAGCAAGAAGCAGAAGCAAGAAAGCAAGAAGCAAAAGCAAAAAGCAAAAUCAGAAAAGUAAGAAAGUAGAAGCAAGAUGCAGAAGCAGAAAGCAAGAAGCAGAACCAAAAAACAAGAAGCAAGAAGCAAAAAGAGAGGGGCAAGGUGCAGAUGAAACGGCGAGGCGGCAAGGCGGCGAGGCGGCCGGCGAGGUGCAGCAGUGAGGUCAACGGCGGCAGUGGCUCGCGUCUCCUCUCUCCCUCGUAUUGGCUCAUGCAAUAUGAUAGAAGGCUCUAGAAGAGUUAUAAUUUUGUUUCCCAAAUGAACAAAAUUCAUAAUAAAUAAUGUACUAUUGUCUACCAAGUCUCUAAAGAACUUGUUGAGUUUUAAAGGUAUUUGCCAAAUGGAUAUCAUAUUGAAACAAUGAAUGGGGAAUAUCAUGAGUAAUUAUAUAUCACAACUCAUGAUUCAAAUAAAAAGACUAUAUUAAAAAUGUUACGCUCACUUUCAUCUGGGUUAUAUUAUACUAAAAUGAGUGUAAUUGAAUUACAUGCCAUUAUAAACCUGCAAAAGUUUACUAACCUAAAUGAAUUUAAAAAAUUUGGCAUGAUCGAUUGGGUCAUUCAGGAACAACCAUGAUGCGAAAAAUUAUUAAAAACUCCCAUGGACAUUCACUAAAGAACCAGAAGAUUUUUAAAUUUAGUAAAUUUUGUUGUGCUGCAUGUUCUCAAGGAAAACUAAUUUUAAGGCUAUCACCAGUAAAACUUAGAUUUGAGUCUCCUAAAUUUCUAGAAAGGAUUCAAGGCAAUAUAUGUGGACCUAUUAAUCCACCAUGUGGAUCUUUUAGAUAUUUUAUGGUCCUAAUAGACGCAUAUUUGAGAUGGUCACAUGUGUGCUUAUUGUCUUCUGCAACCUGGCGUUUACGAGAUUACUUGCGCAAAUUAUUCGAUUAAAAGCACAUUUCUCAGAAAAUCCAAUCAAAGUAAUUCUUCUUCACUCAUGAUCUUCAAAAUCAAUGAACAAUUGAUAUCCAAUAGAUCCGCUCAAGUGAUAAUCUGGCAGAUUUAUUUACAAAAUCACUUCCAAAAUCCUCCUUUAAAAAAUUGGUAUAUCAGAUUGGGAUGUGAUAAUUUCAAGAUAUAAAAUAAUGUUGGCAAAAGGAGGAGACUGUACUCUUUUUUCUUUGGUCAGGUUUUUCUCCAUAUUGAUUUUUUUUUUACAAAGUUUUUAAUGAGGCAGUCCUCGUCACAAAGGAUAUUGUACUAUUUUUUCUUUACUAAAAUUUUUUUUAUUGAAAUUUUCUUUAGUAAGAUUUUAACAAGACAUAAUCCUAAAUGGACAUCCAAUGAAAAAUGUUGCCCAUUUAAUACAUUGUGAUUUUCUUCACAAUAUUGGGCGGCUAACUUUUUUUAAUAGAAAAAUUUAAUUACUCAAAAAAGACUAAAUUUUAUGAAUUUGAAAAAUAAAUAUUUUGUACCAUUAAUACUAGAUUUAUUUAUUUAUGUUUUUUUAUUUUUUAUUUUUUCUUUAUUUAUUUAUUUUACACCAAUUUGAUUAGUAAUGCAACAUUAUUAUUGAAUAGUAGUUAGUUUCACAAAAUUACUUGAUCUUAAUAUUUUUUCGAAUAUGCAGAUACUAUUUGAAAGAGGAAGUAUUUAAGAAUGCAACUUAAUUAUAUUUGGUAUUAAACGAAAUUUAAUUUUAAUCUAUUAUUAAUAUAAAGUAAUUUUAUUCAUGAAUUCAAUUAAUAACGUUUAUCUUUUAAAAAAUUAUUAUUUUUAUUGAAUGUAUAAAUAAUUAUCCAAGAAUAUAAAUGUAAGUAUAUGAUUGAAUAAAAUAUUUUACACUGAUAAUACAUUAAACUCAAAAACUCAUCAUUGAGCAUGUAUUUUGAUAAGAUGGGGGCGAAAACAUAUUUAUUUGAUAAUAAAUUGAUAACUGUUGUCUAAUUAUAUUUUCUCUUAAAUAAAAUAAUAUGACUAAAAAUAAAAAUAUUCUCUGAUACAGUUUUAUUGUUUAGUCAAAUGNNNNNNNNNNNNNNNNNNNNNNNNNNNNNNNAAUUUAUAAUUUAAUCUUUGUUAAAUUCUAAAAUAAUUUUAAUAAUAAAAAACACGUGAAUAAUUGGUACACAUAAUCAAGGUGCACAUACAAAUAAAACUUUAUUGAGGUUGAAUAAAACUUGGCCAAGUAAGAGAAAUAAUUUUUCUUAAAUGGUUGAUAAGAGUGAUAAACUGAUAAUAUAGAGUUGCAGCAUGUGGGAAAUUAGAUAAAAUAGGGAAUAAAUAUUUAAUCCGGUUCUUAUUUAUUUUUUAGAAGGAUAAAGUAAUUUCUGUCUAAAAAAAAGGUACAUUCUGAUUCCUAUCUUUAUAUUUUAUGAGCUAUGACGGUUUUUUUGUGCCUUUCAACGUUAAAAACAAAUAGAAUAAGUAUACAUAUCACUUAACGGUAAUGAGUUGGUUGUUAGGUGUCCAUUAAAUACUAAGUUGUCAAUUUAAAAAUGGACAGGGGUUGAUCUAUCCUUGCCUCCCAAACAAAAACGCUGUUGUUUUAAGUGGGAUGGGAGGUUCAAAUGAUACGCUGCUUCACUAUAUACUUUGAAAAUGUAUCACUGUGUUCAACUGUAAACCCUAAGACGGCAUGGUUGAUAGUAAAGAACGUGGGUCGACAUCAAAUCGGUGAAGUGGGAGAGUUGAAAACGAAUCAGGUUGGAGUUUGAAAGUUAUUGGGAGUGUGGAAUCAAUGUGGAAGAAAAAGAGGGUUGUCCUAGAGUGUAAUUGUGGAAUUUAUGCAAUUUUAUUCAUGUCCGGAACCGAUAUAAACCCAAACAGACUAUUCUUUCGAUGCUCAUACUUCAAGGUAGGUUUAUGAACAAUUAAAAUUUUGUUCACUUUGUUUUUCAUUGAUGCUCAUAUUUCAAGGUAGGUUUAUCAAGAAUUUCAAUUAUGUUCACUUUGUUUUUCAUUAGAUUUAUAAUAAAAAAUAUUAUUUUGUAGACUCCAACACUUCAUUACAAAUACUUUUGUUGGCUUAAUGAUUAUGUUGCAUCAUUCAAUGAGGAUGCUGCAAAGACUCUUUUGUUCGGAGGUUUGAAGCUGAAUCAGAAUCAUAAAGAAGGUCAUUCUUCUGCGGAUGAUAACAAAAUUAGAAAGUUAGAGAAAAGAUUGGUUGGCUUAAAAAUUCAUUUGAAGAAAGUUAGAUUUAAUUUUAGUCAAAUUAGAUGCACUCAUGUUGAAUGUGUUAUGUUGGCAUUUGUUGUUGGAAUUGUAGUUGAAAACCUGUUUAAUGGUGUAGUUUAGAGAGAUCAAAUGUUGUUUCUGGAGUAUUGUGAAACAUGGUGAUUAUGGUUAAGUUGUUUAGACUAUAACAUUUGUUGCUAUUGAUCACUUUUGAUGCAUGAAUAUAAAUAUAAUUAACCUGCUUUUGUUUUUAUAUGUUCGUUUAUUAUUCAAUUUUAAAGAAUGCAGUAGUAUACAUAAUUUUGUAAUAAAAUAAGGCAUUAUAAAUUUGUUGAAUAAAGUAAGAAGCCAUCUGCUGAAAGUUGAAACUUAACACAUGAUACCAUAAUAAUAGAAUAAGGGAAUCAUCAUUACAGCCCUUACUAAUAUAGUUACCCAAAAGAGUAUUCAAUCAACUAUACCCACUUAAAACAAUAGCGUUUUUGUUUGAGAGGCAGGGACAGAUCGACUCUUUUCUAUUUUUAAAUUGACAGCUUGACACUUAAUGGAUACCUGACAGCCAACUCAUCACUGUUAAGUGACACGUAUACUUAUUUCAUUUGUUUUUAACGUCGGAAGGCACAGAAGAACCGCCAUGUCUUACAAAAUAUAAAAACAGAAGUCGGAACGUAUUUUUUUUUUAACAGAAAUCACUUUAUUUUUCUUAAAAAUUGAUAGGGACUGAAUUGAGUGUUUACUCUAAAAUGGGUGGGAUGAUAUGAUAUAAAGAGUAAUUGAGAGACUUAUUCAAAGAAAAUGAGUUAGUGAUGAUCACUUAAUUAAAUCUUCAAAAUUUUCCUAUAAAUAUAAUGGUAAUGCUAAGAAGAAAAAAAAAGAUUAAAAUUUACAUUAUUGAAUGUUUAUUAAUUAUUACAAUAAUUAAUAAAUAUUAAAUAACAUGAGUUAUGAUUAUUUUCUUUUGGUUAACAAAUAUUUUCGUAAAUCGCUUUCUAUAUAAUAAUGGUCAAAAGCUAUACAAAUUAAACAGAUAGACCAAUAAGAACGAAACGAACAAUAAUAAUUAACGAAUUACAAUUAAUUAACCAAAUAAUGAAUAAUCUUUGAUCAACAAUAACAAUCUCUGCUGCUGCAAGCUUAUUCCCACUUCCACAUAUGCAUGUACGGAUGUACCUUCAACAAAAAUAUUGAAAGGAUGAAUAAUAUUUAGUUAUCAUCUUCUUAACAUCAUGCUUAAUAUAUAACGAUGAGAUAAUAAUAUAUAUACUUUAAGUAGCUGUUUUGUUUCCUAGUGAUCAUGUGGGUUUUGUGGUCAUGUUAGGCGUAUAGGCCAUGUCUUCAGUUUUCGCUGCUCUGUUGUUGCUGCUGCUGCCGCCGUCGCUGCGAGCAGGGACAGAACUUAGUUAAAAUAAGGAGGCCAUGGUUUUCCAAACUUUUGAUAAAAAAAUUAGUAAUACUUUUUCGAAAAAUAAAAAAUUAGUUCAAUUGAUUCAAAUAUUUUGCUAUGAUUUAAAAUACCAAAGUUCAAUCUUCAUCUCUUGCUUUUAUUGCAUAGUAAUUUUUAGUUUUAAAUAUUAAAAACAUGUUGGAUUUGGACUGAACUGAAUGUAUUCGCAUUUCGCAACUCUCUAUUCAAUAAGCAACACUAUCUCUACCUUUGAGUUCAAAUAUAAAAAAUUAGGUUUUUUUAUUUAUGUAAUUUAAUAUUAUUUUAUAUUUUACUGUUUAUUUAAUUUAAUUUUUUAUAUGAUAAAAAAUAUUAGAAUAUUCAAUAAGUAUUGAUAUUAUUGUAUUUGUAUAAAUUGAUAAAAAAAUUCAAUAAAUAUUAUAAAUUUUAAUAUUUGUAAUUCUAACUUCUUUUUUACAUAUUUUAGAGGAUAUAUAUUCAAAUUUUUAUAUAAAAUAAUCAUGAAAAAUUAAAGAAUUGAUGCAUUUUUUAAGAAAAAAGCUAAUAUUCAAGAAGGAGAACAUAUAACAUUUACAAUAUCAACACAUGUAGAUAGUUCUUCUACUUUAAUGAAUCACGAAAAAAGUGAGAUACAACUUCCAAAAGUUCAAAGAGUUGCAUUUGAUGAAUUUGACCUUAAUUUUUUGGAACGAGACCCUGAAAAACGGAUUUAAAUUUGGCAAUAUCACCCAAAUCAGAGAGAUGAUGUUAGACGAGUUUAUCUUAAAUGGGAUUCAUAUCAAAAGCAUCUUGAUAAUUAUUUUCUAUCUGGCCCCCAAAAUUUUGUUUCAAGCUCCGCCACUGACUGCGAGACUGCUGGUUGCUACUGCUAUUGCUGCUGCUGCGAGACUGCUGGUUGCUGCUGCGGGACUGCCGGGUGGAUCGCGCAGGGAUAUGAGCUGGUCCACAUUUUCGGGUUUAGUUUGUCGAUUCAUUGUGAGAAAUGUAAUGUAAUUAUUAGUAAAAUGUUGUGAUCAAUGGACUAAUUAACACUGUAUUUGAUCUGCCAUUUCGUAUUUAUAGACGUUUUUGAUGCAUGCAUGUGUACAUUAGGGUACAUUUACAUGUAUGAUAUAUAUGAGCGUGUUAACAUUUGUAAACUUUGCAUGAAAUUUAACUUGUAAAAACAUGAUAUUUUGAUAUUGUUGUAUUCUUAUAUUAAUUGUAUAGUUCAGGUGCGUUGUUGGGAAUUUUCCUUAGCUUUCUUGAGAAAACUAAAAUAAUUAAGGAAACUCAUGGUAGCUAAGAGAGGCGUGUACGGUCAUUACUUUUAUUUUUUAUUUUUUUGUUGAAAGAGAUUACUGUUUCUUCAUGCUGAUGAGCAUUGCAUGAGAAAUGCUACUGCAUUUCGACGGAACUGCAGAGAAAUGCAUGGAAUACUCCUCUUUUUUUUUUUUUUAUAAGAAACUCAAUGACAAUAUAUAAUAACUGUAAAAGAAACGGUGGUGAGUAAUUUAUACAAGAAUUUCAGUGUCAUUUGCACGAAAGUGGAAAUAAGCCAUGGCGUGCGGCUGCGUGUUUGAAGUUGGAAGGGCGAAUUGUGAAGGUAUUUACAGUAACGUGUAUGUAGAAUGAGUAGUUGGACAUGAAUUAAAAAAGAUAGAUGAAUAGUCAACAUUAGAGAAAUUACCAGAAGUCAAUGGAAUAUUUGUAUAAUGUGUAUAAUGAAGGUUUAGGAAGUAUUAAAUAUAUAAUCAUUAGUGUUAUCUCUUCUCAUCAGAGCUGAAACUUUUGGGAUGAGUAGUAUCAUAACAUGGUAUUAGAACGCUAGAUCCGAAAGGCCAAAAGUUCGAUUUUUGGUGAACUCCAAAAUCAGUUUAAGUUAUUAUUCCUAGUACUCGGAUAGUUAUUCUAGAUAGUAUGAGGGAUGUUUAUUUUAUAACUCAAUAACUCAUUGUACACAUUAUACAAAUAAUCUAUUGUCUCCCUAACGAGACUCUCAACAUUAUUUAUUAAAUUAUUACUAUUGUUAUAUUUUCUUUGAUUCUUCUAUAAUUCUGUUACUUACUUCUGGGGCCCGGCCCGGCCAUAUUAAUAGUUAAAUUGAAGCGGUAUGCAGUCGGAUCAUAACAAUAGAAAGUGUAUUACAGAUUUUUUGACGGUGUAUUGUAAUGUAAUUCUUCAACAAUUUGACUGGGUAUAGAUUUUUAGAAGAUAAUUUAUCCCUUUUUUUUAAAAAAAGAAAUUGUUAGUGCAAAUACAAUAUUUUAUCAUUUUUUUUAAAUAAGACAAAAAAAUACUUGACAAUAAUAUUUAUUGAUAGAAAAAAAAUCGAGAUAUUCACUCCUCUUCAUUUCCCGCCUUGGCCUUGGACGGUGGCUGCCAAUGCUUGGUUUAAUCAAACCAGUGACUUGUAUUAUGUCUAUUUAUUCACUAUUUUGUUUAAAAAUAACAAAAUAUUAUAUAAAUCUAUAUAUAAACGAUAUUUUAGAAAAAAUGGUACCAUGAGGUGAUAACUUUAAGAAACACAAUCAUUUAAUAUUUUUUUAUCAUAUAAUCAAUUUAUAUUAACAAUUAAAAAUAACAACGAAAUAAAUCUUCUAUUAAUCGUGAUUUUUAUACAUAUUUUGAUAACGUGAAUCAACGGAUUUUUCUCUUGAUAAAAAUUAAAAAAAUUGUGUUUGUUGUUAAUUCAAUCUAUUUAUUUGACACCAAUUAAUUGAUAAGAAACGAGUAAUGUUAAAAAAAACGAGAUUAAAAGUAUAACAUAGUCGAUUGAAUUGCACACUAGAAUAUGAAUUUUUUCAUAUUCAAUCGAUUGAAAAUAUAACACAAUUAAUUGAAUUUCACAUGAUAAUAUAGAUUUUUUUUAUUCAAUCGAUUAAAAGUGUAACACAAUCGAUUGAAUUGGACAAUUAAAAAUAUAACACAAUCAAUUGAAUUUUGCACGGAAAUAUAAAAUUUUUUUAUUCAAUUAAUUAGAAGGAUAACACAAUUAAUUGAAUUGAGUAUUGCGCUAUAUAUCAUGCCUUCCUUUUUUUGAACAGCCUUCCUUAUUUUUAACAAAAGUUUCCAUUUUUACAUGACUUCUUUUCUCUCUCUAAAACUAAAAAACUUCUCUCUUCAUAGUAUGUGUUAUUAUAUCUUUAGAGACAUGCGAAUUAAUAUGUACAAAUAAACGAAGUUUAAAAAAUAUUUUGUUAGCAUUACUAAUGUAUUAAUAACAGGUAUGAUAAAAAAUUUUGUCAUUAUCAAAAUAGAUGUCCAAGUGAUAGAUUGUGCAAUUUUCAACAGAAAUUAUCAUUAGAUAUCAGUGUUUAUUCUCUUAAAUGAGAACAUAUAUAUAAACCAUAAAAUUGUAAUAUAAAUGUUAUAUAUGUUGUUAAGGAAAAAUUAUAUAUACCAAAGAAUAGACAAAAAAAAAACUUACAAAUUUUAAAUUAGUAGUGGGUUGCAUAAGUUUAUAAAUAUAGUAUUGCAUCUUGUUUAAAUCUAUCUUAGACAUUUACCUACAAACACUAAUAGAUUUAUAUAACUGUUAGAUAUUAAUUGGUACUAAAUUUUAAUAUUAAAAUAACCAUCUGUACACUAGUAAAAUAAACAUCCGAUAUAUCUAUUGUUUACCUUGUUUAAUAUUUUCAUUGUUCACCUAUACUUUUCCAUUCCAUAAACAUUAAACAAUGCAUCUAACCGGAGAAUUAGGCAUCAGCAAGAAAAGAGAAGAACUGAAGCCGUGCAUGCGUGGUCCCCGUUGUGAAGAAAUCGCAGAUAAAUGCUUAGCUGUACAUGGAGACAAGGUUGCUCUCUUUGUAUGCUUAUCAUGUUAUAGAGAUGCUUUGCGAGGUGUAACAAAGGAAGGGUGCCAUAGCCAUGCAUGCUGAAGAGUGUCCCAAAUGCUCAGUGUACCAACUCACUUUCUCCGACGUGUCCCUUCCUUCACCCUCCUCUCGCCCCCUAUAAAUCACCUCGCUUCUCAUUCUCCUUCAUCACAACCACAGCAAUAACAAUAAUAGCAGCCAUGGCUAAGCUUCUUGAGCUUUCUUUUUGCUUUUGCUUUCUAGUUCUGGGAGCUAGCAGCAUCUCCUUCAGGCAGCAGCCGGAGGAGAAUGCGUGCCAGUUCCAGCGCCUCAAUGCGCAGAGACCUGACAACCGCAUUGAAUCGGAGGGCGGUUACAUUGAGACUUGGAACCCCAACAACCAGGAGUUCGAAUGCGCCGGCGUCGCCCUCUCUCGCUUAGUCCUCCGCCGCAACGCCCUUCGUAGGCCUUUCUACUCCAAUGCUCCCCAGGAGAUCUUCAUCCAGCAAGGUUAUUAGUUAUUACUACUUUUUCAUAUUGUUAUUGUCAAUGAUUGAAUUUAAUUAUUUGACGGUAAAAAUAAUUUUGUACACUCACUAAACGUACUAACAUUUUACAACAAUUUACGAUUGAGACACAAAAAAAAAAGGCAUAUCUGUAUUUGAGAAUUUUAUUUUUUUUCCAUGAUCUUUGUUUGUUAAUUUCAUUUUGAAUGAACACAUACAGGAAGGGGAUACUUUGGGUUGAUAUUCCCUGGUUGUCCUAGCACAUAUGAAGAGCCUGCACAACAAGGACGCCGAUAUCAGUCCCAAAGACCACCAAGACGUUUGCAAGAAGAAGACCAAAGCCAACAGCAACAAGAUAGUCACCAGAAGGUGCACCGUUUCAAUGAGGGUGAUCUCAUUGCAGUUCCCACCGGUGUUGCUUUCUGGCUGUACAACGACCACGACACUGAUGUUGUUGCUGUUUCUCUUACUGACACCAACAACAACGACAACCAGCUUGAUCAGUUCCCCAGGGUAUAUAUAUGCUCAAAUCUCAUUCGUUAUUUUUGGCAUGUGCAUAUAUCAUGAAUAUUGAGUAUUAGUCUAUUAUUAUUUCUUAUGAAUUCUCAUCAAUAAACCAUGCCACAUUUAUAUAUAAAUGAUCCGUGACAAUUAAUAAUACAUAACAGAGAUUCAAUUUGGCUGGGAACCACGAGCAAGAGUUCUUAAGAUACCAGCAACAAAGCAGACAAAGCAGACGAAGAAGCUUACCAUUAAGCCCAUACAGCCCUCAGCCUGGACAAGAAGACCGUGAAUUUAGCCCUCAAGGACAGCACGGCCGCAGAGAACGAGCAGGACAAGAACAAGAAAACGAAGGUGGAAACAUCUUCAGCGGCUUCACGUCGGAGUUCCUGGCACAAGCCUUCCAGGUUGACGACAGACAGAUAGUGCAAAAUCUAAGAGGCGAGAACGAGAGUGAAGAACAGGGAGCCAUUGUGACAGUGAAGGGAGGCCUCAGAAUCUUGAGCCCAGAUAGAAAGAGUCCCGACGAAGAAGAGGAAUACGAUGAAGACGAAUAUGCUGAAGAGGAGAGGCAACAAGAUAGAAGGCGUGGCAGGGGAAGCAGAGGCAGCGGCAAUGGCAUUGAGGAGACCAUCUGCACCGCAACUGUUAAAAAGAACAUUGGUAGAAACAGAUCCCCUGACAUCUACAACCCUCAAGCUGGUUCACUCAAAACUGCCAACGAGCUCAACCUUCUAAUCCUUAGGUGGCUUGGACUUAGUGCUGAAUAUGGAAAUCUCUACAGGGUUUGUACUUUCUCUUUUUCUAUCUAUUUUUUUAGCAUACUACACUAUUAACAAAAUUUAUCAUUGUUAGUAAGAUUUGGCUAAUACCUUAAACAUUAAGUAUUAAAUUCUAAAUUUUAAAUACUAAAUACUAAUGGUAUAAGAAUAUAAUGUUACUUAACUAUCGAUUAAUAUCGAUAAAAAGUAUUGAUACUGAUAUUUUUCUUUUCUUGUAGUGUUACAUUAGGCAUUCGAUUUGGUUAUCUAUUUACCCAUUGAAAUGUGAUUGCAGAAUGCAUUGUUUGUCCCUCACUACAACACGAACGCACACAGCAUCAUAUAUGCAUUGAGGGGACGGGCUCAUGUGCAAGUGGUGGACAGCAACGGCAACAGAGUGUACGACGAGGAGCUUCAAGAGGGUCACGUUCUUGUGGUGCCACAGAACUUCGCCGUGGCUGGGAAGUCCCAGAGCGAGAACUUCGAAUACGUGGCAUUCAAGACAGACUCAAGGCCCAGCAUAGCCAACCUCGCCGGUGAAAACUCCUUCAUAGAUAACCUGCCGGAGGAGGUGGUUGCAAAUUCAUAUGGCCUCCCAAGGGAGCAGGCAAGGCAGCUUAAGAACAACAACCCCUUCAAGUUCUUCGUUCCACCUUUUCAGCAGUCUCCGAGGGCUGUGGCUUAAAAACGACCAGUAUCUUUUGCAAGCGUGUUAUCCACUACAUACUUUUUGCCACAAAUGAAUAAUAUAAUAAUAAGAAGAAUAAUGUAGUUUUAAUUUUUAGUAUGAAUAAGAAUACAAAGGGGCAUUGAUGCCUUUUUGUUUAAGAUCGGAAUGUAACAUAUGUGCAAUGAGCAGAUAUGGAGAAAACCUUUUGCGGGAAAAACAUGAAUAAUAAAAGAAGUUAUGGUCUCACGCACGCCACAUUUGUCUUUGUAUCCCCCUUUCUUUGUGAUAAAACAAACUUGAAAAGAAUAUCAACAACACAGCAUGCUCUAACAUUUUGAUGUAACUCCGAAAAUCCGAGUAAUUGUUGAGGGUGAGCUAUAAUGAGCUAGGAUUUCUAUUCAAGCACUAUAAGAUCGUGACAAUUCAAUUUUGACAUGCAUGGUAUAUAUAGCUUGCUUAUGAUCAUUGAUGACUUGCUCAUGUAAAUCCAAUUUUUACAAUUUAG